GUGAGGAAUUUUGCGCAAUGGGGGCAACCCUGACGCAGCGACGCCGCGUGGAGGACGAAGUCUUUCGGGAUGUAAACUCCUGUCAGUGGGGACGAUAAUGACGGUACCCACAGAGGAAGCACCGGCUAACUCCGUGCCAGCAGCCGCGGUAAGACGGAGGGUGCAAGCGUUGUUCGGAAUUACUGGGCGUAAAGCGUAUGUAGGCGGCAAGUUAAGUUCAAUGUUAAAGCCCACGGCUCAACCGAGGAGAUGCAUUGAAUACUGGCUAGCUAGAGGGUGUUAGAGGAAGACGGAAUUCCCAGUGUAGCGGUGAAAUGCGUAGAUAUUGGGAGGAACAUCGGUAGCGAAAGCGGUCUUCUGGGACAUACCUGACGCUGAGGUGCGAAAGCGUGGGGAGCAAACGGGAUUAGAAACCCUUGUAGUCC
Molecule: ribosomal RNA, 425 nt
Filed under: uncultured bacterium
Lineage: Bacteria
Description: partial 16S ribosomal RNA
Rfam family: Bacterial small subunit ribosomal RNA
Source: RNAcentral